Molecule: ribosomal RNA, 119 nt
Filed under: Carassius auratus (goldfish)
Lineage: Eukaryota; Metazoa; Chordata; Actinopteri; Cypriniformes; Cyprinidae
Source: RNAcentral
GCUUACAGCCAUACCAACCUGGCUAUGCCCGGUCUCAUCUGCUCUCCGAAGCUAAGCAGGUUUGGGCCUAGUUAGUACUUGGAUGGGAGACCGCCUGAGAAUACCAGGUGCUGAAAGCU